GACGAACGCUGGCGGCGUGCUUAACACAUGCAAGUCGAACGGAAAGGCCCUGCUUUUGUGGGGUGCUCGAGUGGCGAACGGGUGAGUAACACGUGAGUAACCUGCCCUUGUCUUUGGGAUAACUUCAGGAAACUGGGGCUAAUAUCGGAUAGGAGCUCCUGCUGCAUGGUGGGGGAUGGAAAGUUUCGGCGGUUGGGGAUGGACUCGCGGCUUAUCAGCUUGUUGGUGGGGUAGUGGCUUACCAAGGCUUUGACGGGUAGCCGGCCUGAGAGGGUGACCAGCCACAUUGGGACUAAGAUACGGCCCAGAAUCCUACGGGAGGCAGCAGUGGGGAAUAUUGCACAGUGAACGGGAGCCUGAUGCGGCAACGCCGCGUGCGGGAUGACGGCCUUCGAGUUGUAAACCGCUUUCGCCUGUGACGAAGCGUGAGUGGCGGUAAUGGGUAAAGAAACACCGGCUAACUACGUG
Molecule: ribosomal RNA, 468 nt
Filed under: uncultured bacterium
Lineage: Bacteria
Description: partial 16S ribosomal RNA
Rfam family: Bacterial small subunit ribosomal RNA
Source: RNAcentral